Molecule: ribosomal RNA, 428 nt
Filed under: uncultured bacterium
Lineage: Bacteria
Description: bacterial SSU rRNA
Rfam family: Bacterial small subunit ribosomal RNA
Source: RNAcentral
GUGAGGAAUUUUCCGCAAUGGGCGAAAGCCUGACGGAGCAAUGCCGCGUGGAGGAAGACUGCCUAUGGGUUGUAAACUUCUUUUCUCAGAAAAGAAAAAAAUGACGGUAUCUGAGGAAUAAGCAUCGGCUAACUCUGUGCCAGCAGCCGCGGUAAGACAGAGGAUGCAAGCGUUAUCCGAAAUUAUUGGGCGUAAAGCGUCUGUAGGUGGUUUAAAAAGUACACUGUUAAAGAUUAAGGCUUAACCUUAGAAAAGCAGAGUAAACUUUUAAGCUAGAGUUUGGUAGGGGUAAAGGGAAUUUCCGGUGGAGCGGUGAAAUGCGAUGAUCUCGGGAGGAACACCAAAAGCGAAAGCACUUUGCUGGGCCAAGACUGACACUAAGAGACGAAAGCAAGGGGAGCAAAUGGGAUUAGAAACCCUAGUAGUCC